UGGGGAAUUUUGCACAAUGGGCGCAAGCCUGAUGCAGCGACGCCGCGUGAGGGAUGAAGGCCUUCGGGUUGUAAACCUUUUUCGCUCAUGGUCAAGCCGCAGCUCUGGGUUGUGGUGAGGGUAGUGGGUAAAGAAGCGCCGGCUAACUACGUGCCAGCAGCCGCGGUAAUACGUAGGGCGCGAGCGUUGUCCGGAAUUAUUGGGCGUAAAGGGCUUGUAGGCGGUGGGCCGCGUCUGCCGUGAAAUCCUCUGGCUUAACUGGGGGCGUGCGGUGGGUACGGGUUGACUUGAGUGCGGUAGGGGAGACUGGAAUUCCUGGUGUAGCGGUGGAAUGCGCAGAUAUCAGGAGGAACACCGGUGGCGGAGGCGGGUCUCUGGGCCGUUACUGACGCUGAGGAGCGAAAGCGUGGGGAGCGAACAGG
Molecule: ribosomal RNA, 422 nt
Filed under: Verrucomicrobiota bacterium
Lineage: Bacteria; Pseudomonadati; Verrucomicrobiota
Description: Verrucomicrobia bacterium partial 16S ribosomal RNA
Rfam family: Bacterial small subunit ribosomal RNA
Source: RNAcentral